Molecule: ribosomal RNA, 255 nt
Filed under: uncultured bacterium
Lineage: Bacteria
Description: partial 16S ribosomal RNA
Rfam family: Bacterial small subunit ribosomal RNA
Source: RNAcentral
UACAGAGGGUGCAAGCGUUGUUCGGAAUUACUGGGCGUAAAGCGCGUGUAGGUGGCGAGAUAAGUCGGGUGUGAAAUCCCUUGGCUUAACCAAGGAAGUGCAUUCGAUACUGUUUCGCUUGAGUAUCGGAGGGGUCGGCGGAAUUCCCGGUGUAGAGGUGAAAUUCGUAGAUAUGGGGGAGGAACACCGGUGGCGAAGGCGGCCACCUGGACGGAUACUGACGGCUGAGACGCGAAAGCGUGGGGAGCAAACAGG